ACGGCUCAGUAACACGUGGACAACCUGCCCUUAGGUUGGGUAUAAACCCGGGAAACUGGGUAUAAUACCCGAUAGGUCUCGAUUGCUGGAAUGCAUCGAGACUUAAAGCUCCGGCGCCUAAGGAUGGGUCUGCGGCCUAUCAGGUAGUAGUGGGUGUAGCGUACCUACUAGCCUACGACGGGUACGGGUUGUGAGAGCAAGAGCCCGGAGAUGGAUUCUGAGACACGAAUCCAGGCCCUACGGGGUGCAGCAGGCGCGAAAACUUUACAAUGCUGGCAACAGCGAUAAGGGAACCUCGAGUGCCAGGUUACAAAUCUGGCUGUCGAGAUGCCUAAAAAGCAUUUCAUAGCAAGGGCCGGGCAAGACCGGUGCCAGCCGCCGCGGUAACACCGGCGGCUCGAGUGGUAACCGUUAUUAUUGGGUCUAAAGGGUCUGUAGCCGGCCGGAUAAGUCUCUUGAGAAAUCUGGCAGCUUAACUGUCAGGCUUUCAGGAGAUACUGUCUGGCUCGAGGCCGGGAGAGGUGAGAGGUACUUCAGGGGUAGGGGUGAAAUCUUGUAAUCCUUGAAGGACCACCAGUGGCGAAGGCGUCUCACCAGAACGGACCUGACGGCAAGGGACGAAAGCUAGGGGCACGAACCGGAUUAGAUACCCGGGUAGUCCUAGCCGUAAACGAUACUCGCUAGGUGUCGGCCACGGUGCGACCGUUGUCGGUGCCGUAGGGAAGCCGUGAAGCGAGCCACCUGGGAAGUACGGCCGCAAGGCUGAAACUUAAAGGAAUUGGCGGGGGAGCAC
RNAcentral lists this ribosomal RNA (793 nucleotides) under uncultured Methanosaeta sp. Its description in RNAcentral is "bacterial SSU rRNA". It matches the Rfam family "Archaeal small subunit ribosomal RNA", at positions 85 to 879 of the family's 1478-position model. Lineage: Archaea; Methanobacteriati; Methanobacteriota; Methanomicrobia; Methanotrichales; Methanotrichaceae. The record is from RNAcentral.